RNAcentral lists this ribosomal RNA (1436 nucleotides) under Bacillus licheniformis. RNAcentral's name for it is "bacterial SSU rRNA". It matches the Rfam family "Bacterial small subunit ribosomal RNA", at positions 79 to 1427 of the family's 1533-position model. The record is from RNAcentral. Lineage: Bacteria; Bacillati; Bacillota; Bacilli; Caryophanales; Bacillaceae.
CUUGCUCCNUUAGGUCAGCGGCGGACGGGUGANUAACACGUGGGUAACCUGCCUGUAAGACUGGGAUAACUCCGGGAAACCGGGGCUAAUACCGGAUGCUUGAUUGAACCGCAUGGUUCAAUUAUAAAAGGUGGCUUUUAGCUACCACUUACAGAUGGACCCGCGGCGCAUUAGCUAGUUGGUGAGGUAACGGCUCACCAAGGCGACGAUGCGUAGCCGACCUGAGAGGGGGAUCGGCCACACUGGAACUGAAACACGGCCCAGACUCCUACGGGAGGCAGCAGUAGGGAAUCUUCCGCAAUGGACGAAAGGCUGACGGAGCAACGCCCGCGUGAGUGAUGAAGGUUUUCGGAUCGUAAAAUUCUGUUGUUAGGGAAAGAACAAGUACCGUUCGAAUAGGGCGGUACCUUGACGGUACCUAACCAGAAAAGCCACGGCUAACUACNUGCCAACAGCCGGGGUAAUACGUAGGUGGCAAGCGUUGUCCGGGAAUUAUUGGGCGUAAAGCGCGCGCAGGCGGUUUCUUUAAGUCUGAUGUGAAAGCCCCCGGGCUUCAACUGGGGAGGGUCAUUGGAAACUGGGGAACUUGAGUGCAGAAAGAAGAGAGUGGAAUUCUCACGUGGUAGCGGUGAAAAUGCGUAGGAGGAUGUGGGAAGGAACACUAGUUGNNGGAAGGGCNACUUCUUCUUGGUCUUGUUAGUAGAGAUGUGGAGGAACACCAGUGGCGAAGGCGACUCUCUGGUCUGUAACUGACGCUGAGGCGCGAAAGCGUGGGGAGCGAACAGGAUUAGAUACCCUGGUAGUCCACGCCGUAAACGAUGAGUGCUAAGUGUUAGAGGGUUUCCGCCCUUUAGUGCUGCAGCAAACGCAUUAAGCACUCCGCCUGGGGAGUACGGUCGCAAGACUGAAACUCAAAGGAAUUGACGGGGGCCCGCACAAGCGGUGGAGCAUGUGGUUUAAUUCGAAGCAACGCGAAGAACCUUACCAGGUCUUGACAUCCUCUGACAACCCUAGAGAUAGGGCUUCCCCUUCGGGGGCAGAGUGACAGGUGGUGCAUGGUUGUCGUCAGCUCGUGUCGUGAGAUGUUGGGUUAAGUCCCGCAACGAGCGCAACCCUUGAUCUUAGUUGCCAGCAUUCAGUUGGGCACUCUAAGGUGACUGCCGGUGACAAACCGGAGGAAGGUGGGGAUGACGUCAAAUCAUCAUGCCCCUUAUGACCUGGGCUACACACGUGCUACAAUGGGCAGAACAAAGGGCAGCGAAGCCGCGAGGCUAAGCCAAUCCCACAAAUCUGUUCUCAGUUCGGAUCGCAGUCUGCAACUCGACUGCGUGAAGCUGGAAUCGCUAGUAAUCGCGGAUCAGCAUGCCGCGGUGAAUACGUUCCCGGGCCUUGUACACACCGCCCGUCACACCACGAGAGUUUGUAACACCCGAAGU